Ictidomys tridecemlineatus (thirteen-lined ground squirrel) is the source of this 5168-nucleotide non-coding RNA. NCBI's taxonomy places the organism in Eukaryota, Metazoa, Chordata, Mammalia, Rodentia, Sciuridae. The record is from RefSeq and is a predicted model, not a curated record.
UGGGCAAGGCCCAACUGUCAACAGCAGGGCUCAACUGUGACUUUGGAGCCCAGCAUGUAGUUCUUGUAUCUGCAUCCUCAGAUCCAUGGCCAUCAGCUCCUCAGUCACCUUUCCAUUGAACAAGGACUCCCGGAUGUCAUCAGGGUCAAAACCCAUGAGGAAUAUGAGCAUAGUAGAAGAGAGUUCUGCACCUUCCACAGGGGAUCAGCUCCUAAAGCAGCACCAGAUUGUCUGCCUUCCACAGAGGAUCCCGUGAGGAUAAUUUUGAAGAGGAUCUUAUCAGAUUCCUGGGGUCUUGGUUUUCCCAAACAAUGUCCUGAGUUCUGGUCCAGCCGAGACCUGCUGUGCAGUCCACAGUCACCGAGUUCUCUCUUCCCUGCAGCAUCCAGCAGGACACCUCCACUCUCAGCCUCCUGUGAGCCACGCCCACCUGGGGCUGCAGCAGGCAGCAGAGGUGACCCAGGUCCCUAAGCCUCCUCUCCUGCAUGCUGCCGUCCUCCUCACCUCCGCUCCCGUGCUCCAUCACAACGUAGCUGUCCUCACCUGUCUCCAUAACAUGGAACAGCUGGAUGAGGUUGGGUGACCCGAGCCUCCACUGGGUCCUCUCCUGCCAAUACUGUGGGGGACGGAGCUCUGCUGUCCUUUCUGAAUGACAUUCAUGGACACCUGGGCCCUGUUAGGAUUGCCUGGCUAGUUUCACCCUGGCAAAUCUACCCUGCCCAAGGGUCCAUGUGGACCUCAUAUUGAUUCAUGAAGGUCAUCUCUUUUGAGUAGUUAUCUGCAAGGGAAUGACGAAAGCUGAUUUCCUUACUACUCUGACUGCACAUCCUAAGCAGCAACACUUACAAUCCUAACUGUGCUAAUUAGCAGCACUAAUGCACAACUACGUGGAUUCCCCUUGUCAUGACUGCAGCCAUGUUGUGAACCAAAACCUAUAAAUGUUUCAGAGCAGUGGGGCACUCUGGAGGGAGCCUUGCCACAGCAGCCCAGCUGCCGGAAUGCGCCUGACUCUUUGGUAUAAACUUUAGUUAUAUCAAGAACGCUGUACUUGUUGAGAUGUAAAAGUAGAAUCUAUGGAGGAAGAGUAUAGGAAGCUGUAAGCGCUCCUGUGCCCAGACAGUAAACACUAGGCACCUCAAGCUGCCAGGUGGACAUGCCAAGUUCGGAGGCUUUGAAAAGAGUUGCAGCAGGUUGGGAUUUACAUCCUACCUACCCUAGCUUCCAUAGUCCACUCAGGCUGGUCGACAGGCCAGCUAGCACUCCGAGAAUGAAUGUGGACCACAGGGCAUGGCAUAUGCUGAUACCUGGGAGUUUUGCUAUAGUUCCUCACAUCACCUGGAUCUAAGCAUGAACCACAACCCCUCUUGUUUCUGAGCAUGCCGUUAUGAAUAUAGCUAACGUCUUGUCACAAAUCUUUUAUAACUGGACUAGCUAGACCAGUUUGUGUUCCUUUGGGAGGGCAGACAGGGGAUUCUCCAAGUAUUGCCUGAGAAAUCCACACAGUCCUAAAAUGUAUCACCGCAUAGUAGCUCCUCAUGUCACUCAGGUUUCAUUCUCCAUGGAUUUUACCUGGUUCAUUUAUUCUUCUAUCAUGCUAAGAGGGUAAGAUCAAACUUUGUUACAGGAGUCAAUGAGAUACCCGUUCUCCUAUCUGUGCAUUAGUUAAUGUGCUGUCACCCCAAUGAGUUUCAAGCCAGUGGACCAUCCUGCAGAUCCCACAGUUGUCUGGUGGGUAACACUUGAUGUAUCCAGGUUGAAGUGACAGAAAAUGCUACCUUCCCCAUGUCCCAUACAGAGAAGCAUGGACAGGCUUCUCUAGGAAUCCUGGGUUGCUGGUGCUGUUCAUUAUACAGCUUGCUCAAUGCCUCUGUCCACUAAGCAGCUAAUUAAGAAGGGAGCACAUGGGACUAGUGUGCUCCCAGAGGAGACCUUUGAGAAAGCAAAGGUGGUGAUAGUCCAGGCACAGGCUCUGGGCACCCUCUACAAGAUCUCAGGAGCAGAUAGAUGUCACCUGUACAGCAGAUGGCAAGAAUCAGGGUACAGGAAAAACAACUCGACUAAAGGUACCUUAGGUUUUGGUUGAGAGUCCAAGAGGUGAGCUAAAGCAGUCCAUCCCUAGUGAAACCUACCUGAAGAACUCAGUUCCUCUUUCAUUAACUCUGCUUUAAGCAGUGGUAGGUGGCUGUGUGGGAGGCCCUAAGUUUCAUCCCCUCCCUGAACAAGACAAUACCACAUGAGUCUUCCCUGUUGUUCUGCUGCUAUAAAGGUCUUUGCCCCAGGACACUGCUUAGCUUGGAGCUAAAGUCUCUCUCUAAGGUUCCUUCAUGGCAGGCUUGUUGAUGGGACUCUUGGGUUGGUGGAAUCUAAGCACUGGCUCCUAAUUGCAGGAAGUCUUGUCCCUGAGGCAAAAUGUUAAAGGAGCAAUUGGGAUCCAGCCCCCACCCAUCUCUCUCUCUGUUCAUCAGAACUCUGGGGUUGAUUGGGCUUCUGUGCUUCUGUGUUCCUGUAGUCUGUGUGCACACACAGGACAAUAUGCAUGUGUGCCCCUGAGAGCGUACAUGUGCACGUGUGGAGGCACAGUUGCAUGUGUGUGUAGGUGUGUGGAUGUGUGCCUGUGUGUGCAUGUGAACUUGAUCAUGGUGUUGGUGUCACUGAGAGUAAACAAUGGCAGCUGGAAGGCAAGAACAUUCUGGAGGCCUGUGGUUGUCUCCAGACACACAGGAGAACCACAAAUGGAAUGAUUUUCCCAACUGGCAGGAAUGGGCAUGAGAUCUUAGUACCUGCCCUCACUCCUGUCAAUCACUGCUCUACCCAGUAGGUCUUCCAAAGCCAGGGUGACACCUUUACAUUGUACAUUCUGAGGAUCUGGAUGCUGCUGGUUGACUGCUCCAGACAGACAGGGAAGUAAGGAUUCUGGUGCUAGGAGUUGAUUUGAAAGGUGAAGGCCAAGGUAUGGAGAGGUGAGAAGAGGAGAUUGCUAAUACUGGCUCUUAUCCAGAGGGCUCACCUUGGAGAGUACACGCCUGUGGGUCACUGGGGCUUAGCCAACUGGGCAUUCCUGAGCAGAAUGUGACACUCAAGUUUUCUCUCCCAUGUCCCAGGGUCCAGGCAUCACUGAAACCACUCUUGGGUCAGUGAGCUUCAGAGCUUCACCUGCCACAUGGUACCCAAAGGGUGACAGGCAAACAUGGGGCAGAGCUGAUCACUGUACCUACCCUCAGACUGAAGGGCACAUUGAAGACACUUCAAGGGCUCAGAGAGCAGCGUCCCAAGAUCAGUGGAGUGUGUGACUGUCCUCUGGAGACUGCUCAGAUCAUGGACCUUUCCUCCAGCAGAGACCAAGGUUCCAGUGACUGUGUGGGUGAAGUGUGUUUCUUCUUUCCCGGACACCUUGCAGCUUGGGUCUGCAGGUAGCCUCUGCUCCUAGGGAAGGUUGCCUAGCUAGAUCGUGAACUGUGCGCCUCACCAUGACUGGACAGAGGACUAUGAGCAGGUGUGCCCAGCGGGCAGCAGUGUGGACAUUCAUCUCCUCUUUUAAACAGUUGGAAUCCACACCUGGCCAAUCUCCCACUCCAUUCAGCCAAGGUCCUCCAAGGUCAGAGUUCCCAUGUUCGCCCUUUUAAAUGCAAGAAGAAAGUUAAAAUUCCCCCGUUUUAACAUCUUUGACGUACAGUUCCCGGUCCUUGACUAAGUCACCAGGCUGGUCAGUGGAUCUCCAGACUGACUCCUCUACCUGGCUGAACUUCUCCUCCCCUUCGCCUCACCCAUCUCCAUCCCCCACCUCUCCCCUCCCUGACCAGCUGCACCUGCCAUUCUGCUCUCUGGAUCUCAGAUUCAACUUCUUAGAUUUCAGAAAGGAGUGAUCCUAAAGCAUCUAUCCCAGGUAAUGAGCAUGUUAUAUGCAAGUCUAGGUCAUUCCGUGGCAUGUGCACAUAAAGAAAAUCACAUUGUACACAACUGUGAUUUGUUAAUGUUUAAAGACUAUGAUCAAAGCAUAGACUAAAGACAGGAAACUGCGGAAACUGCAGCUUCGCCACCUCACCUCCUGGGUUUCUGACUUGGUCUCCACUCCCAACUUCUUACACUGGAGCCACUUUGUUCCUGAAUUCAGGGUGUGUGACUUUGGCACUCAACCCUCAUGGGAUAAAUAUGUCAAACCCUCACACUCCUGGCUCUAGACUUGCAUAGGCAAGCUUUGGUUUGUGGAUAUAAUGGAGAGGGACAUGCUUCUCUGCGUCCCCAGGAAGGACUCCUGGUGCUUCUCAGGCAGUUGAUAUUCUGAGAACUAGUAGGUAAAGUUGGGAAGGGCAGCUCAAGACAAAGGUCAUCUCCUUCAGAGAAGGUGGAUAGAACUUCGGGGGAUGGGCAAGGCCCAACUGCUAAGAGCAGGGCUCAACUGUGACUUUGGAGCCCAGCAUGUGGUUUCUGCAUCUGAAGUCUCAGGUACAUGGCCUUCACUACCUAAUCCACUUUUCCACUGAGCGAAUCAUUAGGGUCAAAAGCCACAAGGAAGAUGAUUUUAGUGAGUUUUUUGCCCUGGAGUGAGGAGUGGCUCAUGAUUAGGUCCCAAUGACUCUUUCUCACCUGCUCAACCCUGGUGCCCACAGGUGGUCCAAAGUGGAAGUGAAGUAGUUCCAAUGACCCUUUCAUUUUCCAUGGAAAGUAGAAGAGAGUCCUGCACCUUCCACAGAGCAUUCACUCUUAAAGCAGCAACAUGGUGCCUGCAUUCAAGAUGGGAUACCAUGGAGGGAUUUUGAAGGUGAUUCCCAGGAUCCCUACAGCUUCAGUGGAUCAGUGUGCUCUUUAACCCAACAAAGAUAUGAGCACGUGCAUCCAGCAGGAUACCUCCACUCUCAGCCUCCUGUGAGCCACGCCCACCUGGGGCAGCAGCAGGCAGCAGAGGUAACCCCAGGUCCCCAGGCCGCCUCUCCUGCAUGCUGCCGUCCUCCUCACCUCUGCUCCCGUGCUCCAUCACAACGUUGCUGUCCUCACCUGUCUCCAUAACAUGGAACAGCUGGAUGACAUUGGGUGACUCGAGCCUCCACUGGGUCCUCUCCUGCCAAUACUCUGUGGGGGACAGAGCUCUGCUGUCCUUUCUGAAUGACAUUCAUGGACACCCGGGCCCUGUUAGGAGUUGCCUGGCUAGUUUCACCUUGGCAAAUCUACCC